UACGUAGGUGGCAAGCGUUGUCCGGAAUUAUUGGGCGUAAAGCGCGCGCAGGCGGUUCCUUAAGUCUGAUGUGAAAGCCCACGGCUCAACCGUGGAGGGUCAUUGGAAACUGGGGGACUUGAGUGCAGAAGAGGAGAGCGGAAUUCCACGUGUAGCGGUGAAAUGCGUAGAGAUGUGGAGGAACACCAGUGGCGAAGGCGGCUCUCUGGUCUGUAACUGACGCUGAGGCGCGAAAGCGUGGGGAGCAAACAGGAUUAGAUACCCUGGUAGUCAAGGGCG
This 279-nucleotide ribosomal RNA is filed under the name uncultured Anoxybacillus sp. Its description in RNAcentral is "partial 16S ribosomal RNA". It matches the Rfam family "Bacterial small subunit ribosomal RNA", at positions 524 to 802 of the family's 1533-position model. The record is from RNAcentral. Lineage: Bacteria; Bacillati; Bacillota; Bacilli; Caryophanales; Anoxybacillaceae.